UACGUAGGCAGCGAGCGUUGUUCGGAAUUACUGGGCGUAAAGAGUGCGUAGGCGGUGCUCCAAGUCUGUUGUGAAAUCUCCCGGCUUAACUGGGAGGGUGCGGCGGAACCUAGAGUGCUAGAGGGUGGGAUAGGUAAGCGGAAUUCCUGGUGUAGCGGUGAAAUGCGUAGAUAUCAGGAGGAACACCUGUGGUGUAGACAGCUUACUGGACCACUUCUGACGCUGAGGCACGAAAGCGUGGGGAUCAAACAGG
Molecule: ribosomal RNA, 253 nt
Filed under: uncultured bacterium
Lineage: Bacteria
Description: partial 16S ribosomal RNA
Rfam family: Bacterial small subunit ribosomal RNA
Source: RNAcentral